Molecule: long non-coding RNA, 279 nt
Organism: Callorhinus ursinus (northern fur seal)
Lineage: Eukaryota; Metazoa; Chordata; Mammalia; Carnivora; Otariidae
Source: RefSeq, a predicted model, not a curated record
AGAAGUUUAGAUUCCCCUCAGGAUACUGAAGAAAGCCUGAAUUCGUAAUCCUCAAAGAAAAAAACAUCAAAAGGAAAAUGAAGUUCAAGCUAUUAGUCAUCAGCCUGUUCCUAUUUGUCACUAACACUUAGGGGAUAACUACAACACUGAUGACCUCAGGGUCUAUGACAGACUCGAGUCCCAAGAUGAGCCUGAAUUCUAUGACAACCCCAAAUUCCAAGACAACUUCAAAUCUCCAAACGAUCUCAAAUAUGAAGAUGGCCUCAAAUACCAAGACAA